This 486-nucleotide ribosomal RNA is filed under the name uncultured bacterium. RNAcentral's name for it is "partial 16S ribosomal RNA". It matches the Rfam family "Bacterial small subunit ribosomal RNA", at positions 30 to 507 of the family's 1533-position model. The record is from RNAcentral.
AUUGAACGCUGGCGGCAUGCCUUACACAUGCAAGUCGAACGGCAGCACGGGUGCUUGCACCUGGUGGCGAGUGGCGAACGGGUGAGUAAUACAUCGGAACAUGUCCUGUAGUGGGGGAUAGCCCGGCGAAAGCCGGAUUAAUACCGCAUACGAUCUACGGAUGAAAGCGGGGGACCUUCGGGCCUCGCGCUAUAGGGUUGGCCGAUGGCUGAUUAGCUAGUUGGUGGGGUAAAGGCCUACCAAGGCGACGAUCAGUAGCUGGUCUGAGAGGACGACCAGCCACACUGGGACUGAGACACGGCCCAGACUCCUACGGGAGGCAGCAGUGGGGAAUUUUGGACAAUGGGCGAAAGCCUGAUCCAGCAAGGCCGCGUGUGUGAAGAAGGCCUUCGGGUUGUAAAGCACUUUUGUCCGGAAAGAAAUCCUUGGCCCUAAUACGGUCGGGGGAUGACGGUACCGGAAGAAUAAGCACCGGCUAACUACGUG